RNAcentral lists this ribosomal RNA (749 nucleotides) under uncultured bacterium. RNAcentral describes it as "bacterial SSU rRNA". It matches the Rfam family "Bacterial small subunit ribosomal RNA", at positions 94 to 855 of the family's 1533-position model. The record is from RNAcentral.
AGUGGCGAACGGGUGAGUAACGCGUUGGUGACCUGCCCCGAAGAGGGGGAUAACAGUCCGAAAGGAUUGCUAAUACCCCAUGUGGUUACCGGUUUUAGAAUCCGGCAACUAAAGUCGUAAGACACUUUGGGAGGGACCUGCGUCCCAUCAGCUAGUUGGUAAGGUAACGGCUUACCAAGGCUACGACGGGUAGGGGACCUGAGAGGGUGGACCCCCACAAUGGCACUGAAACACGGGCCAUACACCUACGGGUGGCAGCAGUAGGGAAUAUUGCUUAAUGUGCGAAAGCGCGAAGCAGCAACGCCGCGUGUGCGAUGAAGGCCUUCGGGUCGUAAAGCACUUUUUAGAGGGAUGAGAAAGGACAGUACCUCUAGAAUAAGCCUCGGCUAACUACCUGCCAGCAGCCGCGGUAAAACGUAGGAGGCGAGCGUUAUCCGGAAUUACUGGGCGUAAAGCGCGUGCAGGCGGUUCGGUUAGUUGGAUGUGAAAGCUCCCUGGCUUAACUAGGAGAGGUCGUUCAAUACUGCCGAACUUGAGAGUGGUAGAGGGAGAUGGAAUUCCCGCAUGUAGUGGUGAAAUGCGUAGAUAUGCGGAGGAACACCAGUGGCGAAAGCGGUCUCCUGGCCCACUUCUGACGCUCAGACGCGAAAGCUAGGGUAGCAAACGGGAUUAGAGACCCCGGUAGUCCUAGCUGUAAACGAUGUUAAACUUGGCGUCGGUGGCUUCAAAACCGUCGGUGCCGCAGCUAA